This 421-nucleotide ribosomal RNA is filed under the name Escherichia coli. RNAcentral describes it as "partial 23S ribosomal RNA". It matches the Rfam family "Bacterial large subunit ribosomal RNA", at positions 1305 to 1728 of the family's 2925-position model. Lineage: Bacteria; Pseudomonadati; Pseudomonadota; Gammaproteobacteria; Enterobacterales; Enterobacteriaceae. The record is from RNAcentral.
AGUAACGAUAAAGCGGGUGAAAAGCCCGCUCGCCGGAAGACCAAGGGUUCCUGUCCAACGUUAAUCGGGGCAGGGUGAGUCGACCCCUAAGGCGAGGCCGAAAGGCGUAGUCGAUGGGAAACAGGUUAAUAUUCCUGUACUUGGUGUUACUGCGAAGGGGGGACGGAGAAGGCUAUGUUGGCCGGGCGACGGUUGUCCCGGUUUAAGCGUGUAGGCUGGUUUUCCAGGCAAAUCCGGAAAAUCAAGGCUGAGGCGUGAUGACGAGGCACUACGGUGCUGAAGCAACAAAUGCCCUGCUUCCAGGAAAAGCCUCUAAGCAUCAGGUAACAUCAAAUCGUACCCCAAACCGACACAGGUGGUCAGGUAGAGAAUACCAAGGCGCUUGAGAGAACUCGGGUGAAGGAACUAGGCAAAAUGGUGC